AUGACCGUCGGCGAGCCGGAGAUGCCGGCGUCGGCGCGCAGGCGUUUCUUCCUCGCCAGCGUCGACGCGCUCAUCUUCCUCAAUUGCGGGCUGCUGUGGGUCCUCUGCGCGGGGUCCCUCGCCUUGGUCAUCGCGCGCCUUGCCCUGGGUCAGGUCGAGGUUCCCCCCGCGCUCUGGGCGGCGUCCUGGGUCUCCAUUUACUUCCUUAUGUUGCUCGGCCCCGUUGCCUGGUUCCUCGCCGGCGCGCGCUCCUCGCGCUCCCCGUACACCACCACCGACGCCAACAAGGACAUGAUGGGGAUCCUCGUUCCGGCGGCCUUCAUGCUGCUCGCAAUUGAUUAUGAUAAGGUGGUGGGUCUGUUGGGUGUGGAAGGAUCUCAGAGGGAAUGGAUUGGUUCAAUGGUGAUGGAUUUGGGGUUAAUGGGUGCUGGUGCAACAUGUUUCGUCACCUUAACAACUAUGAUACUGAGGCAAUGGAGGAUGAAGUAG
Molecule: ribosomal RNA, 489 nt
Filed under: Triticum aestivum (bread wheat)
Lineage: Eukaryota; Viridiplantae; Streptophyta; Magnoliopsida; Poales; Poaceae
Description: partial small subunit ribosomal RNA
Source: RNAcentral